UCUGGUGACUCGUCGCUGGGGACACACCCGUUCUCAUUCCGAACACGGCAGUUAAGCUCAGUAGAGGCGAUGAUACUCGUAAGGGGAAAGUAGCUAGUCGCCAGUU
Molecule: ribosomal RNA, 106 nt
Filed under: Minisyncoccota bacterium
Lineage: Bacteria; Bacillati; Minisyncoccota
Source: RNAcentral